This 380-nucleotide ribosomal RNA is filed under the name uncultured eukaryote. RNAcentral describes it as "partial 18S ribosomal RNA". It matches the Rfam family "Eukaryotic small subunit ribosomal RNA", at positions 592 to 976 of the family's 1831-position model. The record is from RNAcentral.
CAAUAGCGUAUAUUAAAGUUGUUGCAGUUAAAAAGCUCGUAGUUGGAUUUGUGGCUUACGGUGUGUUCCGGGCACUUGUUGUCUGAGUAACCUGCUGUUGCCAUCCUUGGGUGGAACCUGUGUGGCAUUAGGUUGUCGUGCAGGGGAUGCCCAUCAUUUACUGUGAAAAAAUUAGAGUGUUCAAAGCAGGCUUAUGCCGUUGAAUAUAUUAGCAUGGAAUAAUGAGAUAGGACUUUUUUGCUAUUUUGUUGGUUUGCGCAAAGAGGUAAUGAUUAAUAGGGACAGUUGGGGGUAUUCGUAUUCCAUUGUCAGAGGUGAAAUUCUUGGAUUUUUGGAAGACGAACUACUGCGAAAGCAUUUACCAAGGAUGUUUUCAUUAA